Molecule: ribosomal RNA, 499 nt
Filed under: Kocuria palustris
Lineage: Bacteria; Bacillati; Actinomycetota; Actinomycetes; Micrococcales; Micrococcaceae
Description: bacterial SSU rRNA
Rfam family: Bacterial small subunit ribosomal RNA (bases 12-371)
Source: RNAcentral
AUUGAACGCUGGCGGCGGGCUUAACACAUGCAAGUCGAACGGUAACAUAAAGAAGCUUGCUUCUUUGAUGACGAGUGGCGGACGGGUGAGUAAUGCUUUGGGAAUCUAGCUUAUGGAGGGGGAUAACUACGGGAAACUGUAGCUAAUACCGCGUAAUAUCGAAAGAUUAAAGUGUGGGACCUUCGGGCCACAUGCCAUAGGAGGAGCCCAAGUGGGAUUAGUUAGUUGGUAAGGUAAAGGUUCCCCAAGCCUACUAUGUUGAGUUGGUCUGAAAGGAUGACAGGCUCCUGGGAUUGAUGAUGCUGUCUGUAUUCCUUUUGGGAUUAGUGUUGGUGAUUUUGGCUUAUGGAGGGACCCUUGGGCCAUGCUGCUCGCGUGGGUGAUGAGGGGCUUGGGGUGGAUGGGCGUUGGGUGUGGGAGGAGGGGUGGGUGGUUAGCUGAGUUGGGUUGUACGUGGUGAAGGGUAAUUGACGGGCUCGACUCUGGGAUUGUUGGCGUG